GUUUAUAACAGAAAUCACUGCUUAUCACCCUAAAAGUGCUGCUAUAUAUACUCUGCUUACAGACCAUCCUGGAGGCCAGUACACUCCCCACCCUCUCCAGUACACGACCCCUGAGCCCGAGACCCUUGACCUGGAUCUUCUGCCUUGGGUUCUCCUGCCUUGUGUCGCCCUUCUCACUGGUGCCAUCUCAUCAUCCUGCUGCUAUUUCUGUCAUAAGCAAGGAUCUACUGGAGGGCAAGUCUGGUGCCAGCAGCCGUGGUAAUUCCAGCUCCAAAGCUUGCAGUUGGAUUUCAGGAUCAGGCUGGUGGUCCACCGCGAGGUGAGCUACCGCCUGUCCCGGCCCCUGCCGGUCGGCGCCCCCUCGAUGCUCUUAACUGAGUGUCCCGCGGGG
Paramormyrops kingsleyae is the source of this 391-nucleotide non-coding RNA. The record is from RefSeq and is a predicted model, not a curated record. Lineage: Eukaryota; Metazoa; Chordata; Actinopteri; Osteoglossiformes; Mormyridae.